AGGGAUAUUGGUCAAUGGGCGCAAGCCUGAACCAGCGACGCCGCGUGGGUGAAGAAGGUCUUCGGAUCGUAAAGCCCUUUUCCCACUGAAGAGGAAGGACGGUAGGUGGGGAAGAAGUCUCGGCUAACUACGUGCCAGCAGCCGCGGUAAAACGUAGGAGACAAGCGUUAUCCGGAGUUACUGGGCGUAAAGGGCGUGCAGGUGGCGUCUUAAGUCUGUUGUGAAAGCGCCUGGCUUAACCGGGCGAGGCCAAUGGAGACUGAGAGGCUGGAGGACGGCGGAGGGGUGUGGAAUUCCGGGGGUAGUGGUGAAAUGCGUAGAGAUCCGGGGGAACACCAGAGGCGAAGGCGGCACUCUAAGCCGUACCUGACACUGAGACGCGACAGCACGGGGAGCAAACG
Molecule: ribosomal RNA, 401 nt
Filed under: uncultured bacterium
Lineage: Bacteria
Description: bacterial SSU rRNA
Rfam family: Bacterial small subunit ribosomal RNA
Source: RNAcentral